GAAUAAAAUGAAGCACGACGCAGAAGACAAGAGUUGUAAGAAGAGGCAGUUGUAUUAAUUGCAAGGGCAGUAUGGUAAAUUGAAAGAAAGUCGGCUUUGAUCUGGUUGUGGUGAGAUCCUCCUGAUACGUCACGUGCCAAAGCGAGUUUUCUUCACAUUCACGUCGUUAAUUUCCACGUCACCCGUUUGAGGGGGAGCCCACACAAACCCUAAAAAUUGCCACAUACCACCAAUUUCACCUCAUACCCAAACGCCUUGACAUCCUUCCAAUUCUACUCCAUCAGACGACCAGGAACCCGCCACGUGUCCCAACAGCCCCAUCGCGGCCGUCCGUGGCAGAUGUCACGGUCAACUCCCAGCCAGCAAACAAAUUCACUCUUGCCGUUGGAUUUCCGUCACCUAGCUAAUACACGGCUAUGAUGCUGCCCGAAAUAUAAGCGGGCAGAUCUCAUUGCCUUUAAGAGGCACGCCCUCUCCUUCUCAUUUCUUCGCUCAAACCCUAAAUAUCUCUACACCGUCGUAAAAUUGGUGUCUAGUUUAAUUCGUUGUUUCUUUUCCCCCAAAAUUUUAGCCAAAUUUUUAAUCUAAUAUAGCCCCGUGCUGCCGCAGAUCGUUCGGCGAAGGGGUUUUCGCGGCGGAGAGGAGAUUCUGGCUGUUCGAUACAUGAUUUUUGGGGGAAAGUGCUGCCGGAGGCUCGACGGAGCUGAGCGCUGCCGACGGUGUGAUUCAUGGCGUCCGCCGUUCUAGCGAGUCAGAAUGAGUCGAGCUGGGCCCACAUGGGAAAGACGCAGUACGUGAAUCCCCACCUCAAUUCAAACCCUCAUCCUAACCCUAAGAAGAAGCAGAAGCAAUUCCACCCAUCUGCGGCCAACGGUGUCGCCGGUCGUUACCGCAGCAGCAACAACAACUUCGAUUCACCGGCCGUCACACAGACGGCGUCCGAUGAUGCCUAUUCUUUCAACCAGACGCCCGCCCCGCGUAACGUGGGGAACUAUGGCGGUCUUCUGACCUUCAACGUCGCUAUGUACACGAAAUCCGAGCUCCUGGAUCUCCGGAAACGCCUCUUUGCCGAACUCGAUCAGAUCCGUGAUUUGCGAGACCGGAUUGAGUCUGGUCGAUUCAACAUUGGCGAAACUCCUAGAUCUCAACCGAAAUCAAAGAAGUUUAGUGGCAGUAAACGGCCUGGCCCUGCGAUUGGAUCCGCCCCCAAGAAAUUGAACGAUGGAUAUGACAAUGGCAGUUUGGAGGCGGUUAAUUUUGGGGAUUUGUUGAAAGAAUGCGAGAAGAUUGUUGGUAAAUUGAUCAAACACAAAAAAUUUGGGUAUGUUUUCAGAGCACCUGUGGAUGCUGUUGCGUUCGGCCUUCUCGAUUAUCAUCAGAUUGUGAAGCAUCCCAUGGAUCUGGGUACUGUCAAAGCGAAUCUGGCGAAAAAUGUGUAUCGGACGCCUGUGGAUUUUGCUGCCGACGUGAGGUUGACCUUUAACAAUGCGUUGCUGUACAACCCUAAGACCGAUCCUGUUAACUCGAUGGCUGAGCAAAUGUUGGCACUGUUCGAGGAAAUGUUCAAGCCGGUGCAGGAGAAGUACAAUAUUGAGCUCGACAGGCGGCGUGAGAAGGAUCCCCGCGAGUUCAAAAUCAACAAUGACUUGCCGUUCCGGGAGGUUGAGGAAUUGCAGGGGAGCUCUUGGAACAAUGGUUGUCAGGUUCUGGCUGCAAAGAAGUCCAAGCCGAAAGCUAGCCAUGUUCCUGUCUCCCACAUUAUGAAGAAGUCUGAUAGAAUGCAUGCAUCAAUGCAAGCCCAUUCUACUGCUUCUACGACCUCUAACCCCCCACCACCGAUGAAUCUGCAGCCACCAGCACCGGAGCCCUUGCCCCCUUCACCCGUGAGAGCUCCUCCUCUGCCUGCGGCUAAGGAGCAAAAGGCUGGAAGAGUAGGGGCGCCCAAGCAGCCGAAGCCACGGGCUAAGGAUCUUAAUAAGAGAGAUAUGAGUAUGGAAGAGAAGCAAAAACUUGGAAUUGGGUUGCAGAGUUUGCCUCAGGAGAAAAUGCCUCAAUUGGUUCAGAUCAUCAGGAAGAGGAAUGAGCAUUUGGCUCAGGAUGGCGAUGAAAUUGAGCUUGAUAUUGAGGCCCUUGAUACGGAGACGCUGUGGGAACUGGAUCGAUUUGUGACCAAUUGGAAGAAGACGGUGAGCAAGAAUAAUAGGCAAGCGUUGAUGAUGAACAACAAUCCAGCCGCUGGAGUUUCUAUUCCCACCAGUCCUGUUACCGAUGCUGAUGUGGGCGCAAUGAGUGACAAAAAUGAUGAUUUGGACAAGAAGAUGAAAGACAACGAGGAAGAAGAUGUAGAUAUUGAUGACGAUAUGCCAGCAGCGAGCUUCCCUCCUGUGGAGAUUGAGAUUGAGAAAGAUGAAGGCCUCGGUGGUGGUGGUGGUGGUGGUGGUGGUGGUGUUGGUGUUGGUGGCAGCGGCAGCGUGGGCCAGGUUCAUGAUCAGGAUGAUAAUGGUCGAGGCAAUGCCAGCAGUAGCUCGAGCAGUUCUGGCAGCUCAAGUAGCGAUUCGUCAUCCUCGAGUGAUUCUGAUUCAAGGAGUUCAUCUGGUAGUGAGUCGGACGCAGAUGAUGCACAGUCUUGACAAGUGUUUGAGCAAAUUUGAAAAUGAAUGGAGUGCUCAGGUCGGGCAUUUGGCUGCUGUGAUAAACGAGCAUAUUUGUUCAUGAGAAUGGGAAAUGAGGCGGUGUGUCAUGGACGAGGGGUUUGGAUGGAGGAGGGGUUUCAUUGCAAAUGAAGAGAAAGAAUUUGGAAUUUUGUUCCAUUUGAGAUCUGCCAUAACACGUGUUGUCAUCCGAGUCCCAGAUAGUUAAAGUAGAAGUUGUUAAUUGUUUUUUAUUUCGGCCAACGUUUUUAAUCAAAUGGACCAGCUUUAUGUUUGUAGCUGGGGAAAUAUCUUCUUUUUACACAAUGCUAGUGCUAGAGAAAGAAAAAUCAAAUAUCUCCUCUCUAAAUUCUAUUUUAUGUUCAUCCUUCUACUAGUGUUCUAGCCUAUUUAACACUACAAAAUCUCAACAUUUUGUACUGGGGGAAGCAGAUGCCCGAUCAAGAUUUAAUCUCUUGGGUGCGUUGGGUGAAGAAGAGUUUGGUUAGGUUAAUUUGUACAGUUUUCGUCUCCCAAGAUAUAGUGGGAAUUUCUUCCAAGUGAACGAAAGCUAUUUAUUCA
Molecule: RNA transcript, 3212 nt
Organism: Salvia miltiorrhiza (redroot sage)
Lineage: Eukaryota; Viridiplantae; Streptophyta; Magnoliopsida; Lamiales; Lamiaceae
Gene name: transcription factor GTE7-like
Exons: 4
Source: RefSeq, a predicted model, not a curated record